GAUGAACGCUGGCGGCGUGGAUAAGGCAUGCAAGUCAAACGGGUAUUGUAGCAAUACAGUAUCAGUGGCAGACGAGGUAGUAAUAAAUAGGUACCAACCCUAAAGUCAGGAAUACCUCAUCGAAAGAUGAGUUAAUACUUGAUGGUCUCAAAGUGUAAAAACUGCGAGUAAAGAUUUAUCGCUUUAGGAUGGGCCUAUUCAGUAUCAGCUAGUUGGUAGGGUAAUGGCCUACCAAGGCUAAGACGCUUAG
Molecule: ribosomal RNA, 250 nt
Filed under: uncultured bacterium
Lineage: Bacteria
Description: partial 16S ribosomal RNA
Rfam family: Bacterial small subunit ribosomal RNA
Source: RNAcentral